RNAcentral lists this transfer RNA (61 nucleotides) under Proasellus coxalis. RNAcentral's name for it is "transfert RNA-E(GAA)". The record is from RNAcentral. Lineage: Eukaryota; Metazoa; Arthropoda; Malacostraca; Isopoda; Asellidae.
UCUUUAACGGUGUAUGACAUGUUACAAUUUCAUUGUAGAGUUGGUUUAAUACCUUAAAGUG